This 253-nucleotide ribosomal RNA is filed under the name uncultured bacterium. RNAcentral describes it as "partial 16S ribosomal RNA". It matches the Rfam family "Bacterial small subunit ribosomal RNA", at positions 524 to 776 of the family's 1533-position model. The record is from RNAcentral.
UACGUAGGGUGCGAGCGUUGUCCGGAAUUACUGGGCGUAAAGCGUGCGCAGGCGGUUCGUUGUGUCGGCGGUGAAAGCCCCGGGCUUAACCUGGGAAUGGCCGUUGAAACUGGCGAACUGGAGUGUGGCAGAGGGGGGUGGAAUUCCGCGUGUAGCAGUGAAAUGCGUAGAGAUGCGGAGGAACACCGAUGGCGAAGGCAGCCCCCUGGGCUAACACUGACGCUCAGGCACGAAAGCGUGGGGAGCAAACAGG